Long non-coding RNA from Pogoniulus pusillus (Red-fronted tinkerbird), 1305 nucleotides. RefSeq lists it as uncharacterized. NCBI's taxonomy places the organism in Eukaryota, Metazoa, Chordata, Aves, Piciformes, Lybiidae. The record is from RefSeq and is a predicted model, not a curated record. The transcript is spliced from 3 exons.
UGGGCAGCAUCCUGCAGCCCUUCAGAGCUCCUCAACAGAGAGUAGGAGCGCAGGGUGUGCAGGGGCAGGAGUGCCCAGACACCCCAGCUCCAGCCCACUAGGGCCUCUUUCUAAAGGCACCCCAGGGAAGAACCUGCUGCUCAAGCUUGCCCUGGUGGAGAGCAUCAAGAGCGUCACGCAGGCUGUGGGCAACUGCAGCAGCUUUGAGCUUUCCUCAAGGCAGGAGGUGCUGAGCACCUUGCUGGACUAGCAGGCUGUUGUGAGUGCAGUGGUUGCCAUGAUGAGGCUCCUUCUGAAGAGGAAUCAGCACUGAGAGCAUUUAGACUUUGGGCCUCAAAAUGAUGCUUUGGGCUCUUAAGGAUGAGACUUUGUACCUUAAACCUCUCUGCCACAGCAGGGCUGGAUGCCCUCCUAAUCCAGCCAGCAUGGUCAUGGAUUGCAAAGCCUGCUGGGCUGGGCACUAGAAGAGGACAAUAUUCACCCAUAGGCAGAAUGCCCUGCUUCAGCUUUAUCUCCACAGAGGCGAAAUCCAGAUACUUGUCCCUGGCUGUCUUCCCUUAGACUAAGCUCAGCUUCUCCAUAUGAACCUUGAAAGCGGAUUUGAGAGCCUGGAGAUCAAAAAGCAGCUUACCAGGCAUCCAUGCUCUGAGCUACUCUCCCUGGAAGUGAGCUGCUGUCCCCGGAAAUGAACUGCACUCAGCACUGGGUCACAUCAUGCAGCUUGUCCUGAGUUGAAGCUCCAGACAGUGAGACGUGACCCAAGCUCAGCAGCCUGGCAGGAAGAACCUCAUUACGCAGCCUGGGACUCAGAACCAUGCUUGGGCACGUCAUCCUCGGUGACCUGGGUGCUUCCAGUGUUCAAGGAGCCACAGCAGAGCUUCUAAGGGAAGCAGCCCUGCUUCUGCCAGCAGCCCAGAUGGGCUGGAGAACAGCAACCGCAGCAGCUUGUAAUAUAUGGAGAUUUGGCUUUUGCACAAUAAAGUGGUCAUAGGACUUCAUCAGUAAAAUAGCAAGGGAGCCAGUGGCGUUGGGAGGUGCCUGCCGUGUCCUUGGCUGAAGAUAAGGCUGCUGCAGUGAUGCCAAGAGGAGCCAGGAGGAUCCAGGAGGCCUCUCUGGGUGGAGUUAAGGGGCUUAGGGGUGGUGCUUAGAAAAGGCACAAGAAUAUUCUUGAAUAUGUAUAAAGCUAAUACAAUGCUCUCCAGUCCUUCUCCUAGAUAAGCAGGAUUAGUUUCUGCCAGGGCGUGCCUCUAGCAAGUGUGUCUUUGCUCUGCACCCAGCGCUCUUUGCCUUGAUUUUGUAAUAAAC